RNAcentral lists this ribosomal RNA (433 nucleotides) under uncultured bacterium. Its description in RNAcentral is "partial 16S ribosomal RNA". It matches the Rfam family "Bacterial small subunit ribosomal RNA", at positions 29 to 507 of the family's 1533-position model. The record is from RNAcentral.
AACGAACGCUGGCGGCAUGCCUAACACAUGCAAGUCGAACGAGACCUUCGGGUCUAGUGGCGCACGGGUGCGUAACGCGUGGGAACCUGCCCUUAGGUUCGGAAUAACUCCCCGAAAGGGGUGCUAAUACCGGAUAAUGUCUUCGGACCAAAGAUUUAUCGCCUUUGGAUGGGCCCGCGUUGGAUUAGCUAGUUGGUAGGGUAAAAGCCUACCAAGGAGACGAUGCAUAGCUGGUCUGAGAGGAGGACCAGCCACACUGGGACUGAGACACGGCCCAGACUCCUACGGGAGGCAGCAGUGGGGAAUAUUGGACAAUGGGCGAAAGCCUGAUCCAGCAAUGCCGCGUGAGUGAUGAAGGCCUUAGGGUUGUAAAGCUCUUUUAGCCGGGAUGAUAAUGACAGUACCGGGAGAAUAAGCUCCGGCUAACUCCGUG